Molecule: long non-coding RNA, 8420 nt
Filed under: Triticum aestivum (bread wheat)
Lineage: Eukaryota; Viridiplantae; Streptophyta; Magnoliopsida; Poales; Poaceae
Description: long non-coding RNA (TAES_LNC015913)
Source: RNAcentral
UGACGCAACCAAGCUCAAGGAGGAGCUCGAUGAAGAUCUUGCCCUUUGUGUUGUUUCGUUCUAGUUGAUCAGUAGUGGAGCCCAGUUGGGGUCGAUCGGGGACCUUUGUCGCAUUUGGGGUUCUUCUUUUAUUUUGGUUCUGUAGUCGGGCCCUGAUUGUAUUUGGUUGAUGUAAUGCUUUAUUCAUGUAAUUGUGUGAAGUGACGAUUGUAAGCCAACUAUGUAUCCUUUUCCUUAUUAUAUUACAUGGGUUGUGUGAAGAUUACCUCACUUGCGACAUAUGCCUUCAAUGCGAUUAUGCCUCUAAGUCGUGCCUCGACACGUGGGAGAUAUAGUCGCAUCGAGGGCGUUACAAGUUGGUAAUCAGAGCCUUCCCCGACCUUAGGAGCCCCACUGCUUGAUCGUUUUUAGCGGCCGAGUUGUGUCUAGAAAAAAUGUUUUGAGUCAUUUAGGAUUAUAUAUAUCGGAGAGUUAGGAAUUCUUUUUACUCCCCAGUCUCUUCAUCGCUCUGGUAAGGCAUCCUGACAUAGAGUUUUGACUCUUCUCUUCUCAAAUUUCACUAAAAAAAAUUUAGGAUCACGCGGGUAUCUUGGAAUCGUUCCGAUGGUUUUAUGAUGAGAACAUUGUCUUGGUGCCUCCUGUCAGGGGUUUAGUGGAAGUGUCCCGGGGAGUUGAGCUCUGAGGUGUUGUCGUCAUAAUUUUAUCGCUGCAGUUCUGGAAUACCUGAGUUUAGUACGCCGACAUCGAAAAUCUCUUUUAUGCAGUUCGUUGGUGAGAUAACCCCGAUAACCCAGUACUGAGGUGAGUACGGGAGUAUUGCCAUGACUUGUAUAACGGAUGCUUUUCGAAGGUUGAGGUAGAUGAUUUCCGAAGGUUUCUUGGUUAUGUGUUGAAGGAUGGAUACAGCUGGAUGUAGGAUUUGUUAGUUUUGGGUGAGAUAUUAUGCUUCCCCUGUAUCCCCAACACCUGAUUGCAUAACCGGAAAAUUUCGGGAGUUUCAUAGGUGGGAAUUCAAGUAGCUCUUAGGAUAUCUUUCCGACGGAUGUAUGAUAUGAAAUUGGGGUUCGACGUCUAGUGGUCCGCCUAUUCACGGUUGGUUUUACAGUGGUCUCGUUGUGUCUUAAAGAGUCCUUGGCUAUGCCGACUCGGGGACGCUUCGUAUGUCAUGUGCACUGCCUUGUACAUGAUGGUGCUGUACGAUCGAGCCCGUGUAGGCCCCACCACGAAAACUUCGGACGAAAUCUCUAUCAUAUGUUUGUUCUGGCUUAUUUUGCAAGUCAAUCCUUUGUUUUGUUUUGAGUUGUGGUAUUCGAGUUGCUUCGAAGUCAAAUGUUGAUUCCAUACCUUUUCCAAAUGGUGUUCUCAUAUUCCUAUGUGAAUACUAAUCCUUCUUGAUCAUCGAGUCUGUCUUGUCAAUCCUUUUUUUUAACCGGUGUGUCUCUCCUCAAGUGGAUCCGUUCACGUCAACAUUUGCAAGAUCAUUUAUCCCUUCUUCUCAACGGUGUUUGUUUCAUCCGUCUCCAAGUUGCCUUUGUUUUUCCCACCCUCCCUCCCUUUUGUUUUCUUCAAGGACUAAGAUUUCUUCUUCAAGUAUCCAUUUUAUUGAUGGGAAGUUUCUCCAUUCUUUCCGUCAAUGUUCUUAUCCGGUGAUUCUCAUGAAGAUUCUAAUGGAGCUUCAAGUUCGUCAUUCCUCGUUCUUUUCUUCUCCGGUGGAUUUAAUUCAAGCUUUGGUAUUAAGCAUACUCCUUUUCUUUUUUUUCCAAUGCUUUUCUUAUGCCGGUGCACCUCUUAAUCAUCCAUCUCUCGCUAUUAAAUUGUUCCGGAGUGCUCAAGAUAUCUCGAAGAUUCGUGUUUCCACUCUGCAUUCGUUCAAGCUCUUUCGAGAUUGGUAUCUCCUUCAAGUCAUUUAAUUCAACCGGUGCAACAUCUCUUUUAAAUCUUUUCAACGGUGUUCUUUUGAGUGGGCCCUAACCCACAGGUCUUUUCCCAGGAUCUUACCUGACUCUUCUAUUUUCCCAGAGCUAUCCUAAAUUCUUCUCCAAGUUUGACGUAAGAAUGAGUUAUCAUUAGUCAAAUGCUUUUCUCCAAGAUCUUUCAAAUUCUUUUCAUAGUUGGCUUAACCUCUUCGCUUUUGAUUCUUCCGGUGUGCCUCAAUAAUUCUUGGUGGUGUUUCUCAUUGUCAUUCUCAUCAUUUGAAGACCGAAGAAGAGUUUCUCUUUAAUCUUGCUCUAUUCUCUUCAAGAUUCAUGGUGCUAGCUUGUUGCCAUCCUCUCAUAAUUGUUUUCGAUUGUGAGAAUCUUUUUCACCCAUCAGGAGAUAUUCAAGAGUCUUCUCAGUUUGUCAUCUGGAGUCCAUCAAUUCAGGUUUAUUCAUUCUCAGCCGUCAGUUAUCAUUCUCCUAUCUUGCCGGUGCAUCUAUUGAAUAUCCUCUAAUCAGUUCUUGAUCUCUUUGUUCUCAGGUAUCUAGUUUGUCUCAAGCACCUUCGUUCAUUUGCUAAUUCUUACCGGUGAUGCACCCCUACUUCGAUCAUUUUCAAUUCUUACGGUGGUUCUUUCAAGAUCUCUCUUCCUUGUUCAUCAUAUCAAUUCAUUUGUUGUUCCAAUCCUACCGGUGGUUCGUUGAAGACCUUCUCAAGUUUUGAUAUAUCUCUUUUAAUCCUUUCUACGAGAAUAAGUAGUAUGCCAAAUCCGUUGAUUGUCAUCAAUUUAAUUGGUGAAGGAUAAGCAUAACAUAAUUCUUAUUCUUGUUCAUCCAAGUGAUUAAUUCUUUAUUCCGGAGGCCCUUAAAAUUCUCGGUUUCAUUUGUUUCAUCUUCUCUUUUUCCCGGAGUUCCAAGCUCUAAUUAUCACGGAGAUCCAUCUAAAUCAUUGCAAGGAUUCACCUUGUGUUUUCAAUUUCUCUUUCUUUUCAUUCCUUUUGUUUACCGGAGUUCUUCAUGGAGGUUCUACAUGAUGAUUCAUCAAGGAUUUAAUUCCUUCUCAAAGUUUUCAUCAAGAUUCAUUUCUAGGGAGCUCAAGCUUUCUUCAUAUUGUAAUCCAGAGUGCAAUUUCUUUCUACCAUAUUAUCGGAGGUGGUAUUAUGUCAUUCUUGAUAAUUUGAGUUCAUGUUCCAUGAUUCACAUGUUGUUAAGAAUGAGUUAUUUUUAAAUCCAUCAACCUCGUUGUUGGAGUUAUCUUGUGUCAUAUUUCACCUAAAAGCCUUCCAUUGGGAAUGUUGCUAUUUGUGGUGCUUGCCAAUGAUCCAAGUUAUCUCUUAUCAUCUUGGUGGAAGAAGUUUUCAUCUCUUCGUUGAUCUCAAGCAAGCAAUUGUUUCCGUUAGUGGCCGGUUGUCACCUCAUAAUUUUGAGAUGUUUUCCAUAAGCCCACUACAAGCUUGUGCUUUUCGUUGUUGAUUUUCCAACAACUCCGUUCAAUUCUUCUUUGCAAGGAUGCUUUCCAAACUCAUUUGUGGCAGAAGUUGGCAUUUUCUUCUCCAUUCUGUUAUUCCAAUGAUAUAUCUUCUAUUAUUUCUUUCGGAGGCAUUGUGACGUUGCUCUUUUCACUCACCAUCUCGAUUCGUGAGGAUCGUGUUCUUUUCUUGCUUAUCCAUUUAACCGGAGUGUCGUGUUUUCAUUCGAGUUCUCUAAUCUUAUCAAGUUUUCCCUCCUUCCUCAACUGGAGAGCUGUCUGAAAUCCUUCUUACCCAUUGUGUCAUUCUUUCAAUAGUUCCGGAGGCAGUGUGUUGUUGAUUUCAUCAAGUAACAUCCCAUCUUCUCAAGUUCAUGUUCUAUUCCUUACAUGUUCAACCGGAGUACUGCCCGAAUUCUUCCCCUCUCAUCUUGUUUUAACCGGAGUGGUUUCGAAUUCUAUCUUGUCCAUUAACUCUUGAUUCAUGUCUUUGCAACCUUCAAGUUCUCGUAAUGUUCCUUGUUCCUUUUUUUUCUAACGGAUUGUUUGCAAUCUCGUUCUUCUCAGUUGUGCUCUUUCUUUUAAAUUGCUCAACCUCUCAAGGUUCUUUGGUUUCACUCAUUGGUCGAAGAAGCAACUUAGGUUUACCUCUUCUCUUCCUCUUCUGUUUCUCUCCGGUGCCAUCCUAGAUCUCGGGACGAGAUCCUCUCAUAGUGGUGGAGUGUUGUAACGCCCCGAGACCGAUGUGCCAGGUGUCGUUCAGUUAUUCGUUGUUGUUGUCUUGUCAUUGGCUCGCGUGUUGCAUUUCAUCAUGUCAUCAUGUGCAUUGCAUCAUCAUGUUUUCAAAACUUGCAUCCGUCCCGGUCUCCUCGUUCCUUCCGUUGUCCGUUUUGAGCCCAACCACACUUGCACGCGCCCGCGGCACGUCCGAAAUAUUAUUUUAUUAGUGGCCGGAAAAUGUUCUCGGAAUGGGUUGAAAGUUGGCAUGCGGUGUCGUUUUGUUGUCAGUAGACCGCCUGCCAAGUUUCAUCGCAUUCGGAGUCCGUUUGACGUCCCAACGGAUAAAUAUAGCGGCAAUAGUAGCCGGUCUAACGUCGGACGUUUUCGGUCUCCGGAAACAGUCGCCGGGCCUCCCUCUCUUCUCUUCUCUCAGCUCGAGACCGUCUGCACAGCCCACCUAGUCCAUCCUCCUUCCCCUCUUCGCUUCCGGAGUUGCCCGAUGCGAUCGCGCGGUCCGAAACCCUCUCUGCACAGUGCAUCGAACCCCUCACGCGAGCGCCCGAAAGUUGUCCCGGACCCGACUCGGACAGUCGUUACCGCUGUGUCCGGAUCAUCCCCAAACAUCUACAAAAUAUCUUCGUUUUAUUAUUCGGGCUAUCUAACCUAUUUAUUUACGACCGCCCGAUUAUAAUCGGACGGACCGGAUUAGUCCCUACCAUCCCCUACCUAUAUAUAUCCAACCCUAGAUCCUAGGCGCCUUGUCCCAUCCUCCCGUUCCCUCCGCCGCCACCCGACCAAACCCUCUCGGGAUCCCCUCCCGAUCCUUCUCCACCCAACCAGCGCUCUCCCUCCUCCUCGUUCCAGAUGCCCGAGCCCCCAAUCCAAAAAUUCCUCUCGGCCUCCACCUUGUAGCCUCCGACCACAUCCAUGGCGCCCCUUGCCUCGACCCGGUCCGGUGGAUCCGGCGCCCUCCUUCCCGCGUGGCACUGCACCAGGCCAGAGCCCCUCGCCGCCGUCUCUUUUCCCCCGUUUCCCUUCCCCUUCUUUUCCCUCUCUGUUUUCCUCUCCCUCUGCUCAUCCCUCUGCUCGUUUCCUUUGGACAGGGGACCUCCAUGGACGAACGGCAAGGCUGCCAAGAGGAUUCGGACGCCGCCGGUUUGCCUCUGAUCCGCCUCCCCUCGCCAAAUCUGCCCCGUUCCCGGCGCCCUCCGCCUCACCGUUCCCCUGCCUUGGCCUCGCGACCCCGCGCCUCCCUCCUGCAGCCCGUGGAAGCCACCAGGAGGCGGACUCCCGUGCUGCACAGGAGCUCCUCGCCGCCCGAAUCCGUUUCCCCAGGUCGCCGGACCUCCCUGCAAGCAUCGCCGCCGGCGGCCACAGGUCCAGCGCCAUGCCCCGCCUCCUUCCCGCAUUCUUCCUCCUCCCUCUGAAUUCAUCUCUCUCUGUCCUUGCCUCGAACAAGAGCACCAGCCGGCGCCACCAUCAUCGGAGAAGGGCUCCCGCCGCCCAGAUCCGCGCCUGCCGGCCUCCGCGCCCUCACCGGAGUGCUCGUCCCAGUCCCGCCGCCGCCAUCUUCUGCAUCGCCAUGGGUGAGCUGCUGUUUUUGUUCUUCAGAACGAGCAGAGCAGCUCGCCCGCUUUGCUCGCCCGCUGUUGACCGCGCCUCCGCGCCCUUGGGCCGCCUCCUCUUCGUCAGUUGACCGAGGCCCAGCACCAGCCUCCCUUCACAGAUCCAGCCGGCCCGCUUGCCCUGCCGGCUUGCUGCCUCCACCGAACCGGGCCAAGGCCCAGGGUGAGCAGCCCCCUCCAGAUCCCUCUCCUGUGCACAUUCGGGCCAGCCAGAUUCGGCCCGUGUACCUUUUUUUUCCAGUUCUGCGAAUUUAGUUAUUUUUCUAGAGACUGCCAGUUUUGCAGAAAACCCCCUUAAUGUUCAUGCAUCAAUAUUUAAUUAACCAUGCAUCGGAUUAAAACAGAUUAUAUAUGUAAAAUGCUUAGAAUUUCAUCUAGUUUCAUAUUUUGCCUUUUGCAUCCAUGUUUAAAAUGUUUAAAAUGUUGUUUACAUUAAUUUGCAUAAAUGCCAUGCUAAAAUGAUUUUAUUCAUAACUAAAUAACCGUAGCUCGGUUUUAAAUGUUCUUUAUAUGUAUGGGGUGGAAAAAUGCCUAGAUUAACAUGGUCCAUUUUAUUUUCCUGUUUAACAACUUUAAAAUAUGUUUUAGGGCAGAACAGUAGCAAAUUCAUAAUUUGCAUAUGGGGAUUUUCCGGAUUUCUUGUUUGUUAUAUCCGGCCUCAUUUAAACUUGCCUAACUAUUUAGUUUACUUUUGUUACACCCCUUGACAUGUUUAACAACAUUUAACAUUGUUGUGUUCAUAACCGAGAUUAAACUAAAUAAUUGAUGUGGUGUUUUGUUAAUAUGCAACCCGUUGCAUAUUGAGCUCCAUUUAAUUUGUAGGAUUGUUUGUGCACUUUGCCAUGCCAUGCCUCAUUAAACCGGACAUGCAUCAUACUUGUUUGCGCAUCAUGCCAUGUUUAUGUGAUGUUUGUUUACUAUGUUGUUUGUUUCUUUCCGGGUUGCUUCUCUCGUUAGCUUCGGUUUCGUUCCGGAGUUGUGAGGAUUCGUUCGUCUACGGCUGUUUGUCUUCUUCUUGGAUUCGUUCUUCUUCCUUGCGGGAUUUCAGGCAAGAUGAUCAUACCCUCGAAAUCACCACUAUCUUUGCUAUGCUAGUUUGCUCGCUCUUGCUAUGCCAAUGCUACGAUGCCUACCAUUUGCUUGUCAGCCUCCCAAAUUGCCAUGUCAAACCUCUAACCCACCAUGUCCUAGCAAACCGUUGAUUGGCUAUGUUACCGCUUUGCUCAGCCCCUCUUAUAGCGUUGUUAGUUGCAGGUGAAGAUUGAAGUUUGUUCCUUGUUGGAACAUGGAGAUGUUGUUCCUUGUUGGAACAUGUUUACUUGUUGGGAUAUCACAAUAUAUCUUAUUUAAUUAAUGCAUCUAUAUACUUGGUAAAGGGUGGAAGGCUCGGCCUUAUGCCUGGUGUUUUGUUCCACUCUCGCCGCCCUAGUUUCCGUCAUAUCGGUGUUAUGUUCCCGGAUUUUGCGUUCCUUACACGGUUGGGCUAUAAUGGGAACCCCUUGACAGUUCGCCUUAAGUAAAGCUCCUCCAGCAAUGCCCAACAUUGGUUUUAUCAUUUGCACUAACAACCUACCACCUUCCCUUGGGUUUUGCAGACUCAAGGGUCAUCUUUAUUCUAACCCCCCCCCCCGGGCCAGUGCUCCUCUGAGUGUUGGUCCGAACUGAGCUGCCUGCGGGGCCACCUCGGGGAAACUUGAGGGUUGGUUUUACUCGUAGCUAGUCUCAUCUGAGUGUGCCCUGAGAAAGAGAUAUGUGCAGCUCCUAUCGGGAUUUGUCGACACAUUCGGGCGGUGUUGCUGGUUUAGUUGUACCCAGUCGAAAUGUCUUGUUGUACCGAGAUACCGAGUCUGAUCGGAGUGUCUCGGGUGGAGGUCUAUUCCUUCGUUGACCGUGAGAGCUUGUCAUGGGCUAAGUUGGGACACCCCUGCAGGGUAUUAUCUUUCGAAAGCCGUGCCUGCGGUUAUGGGCAGAUGGGAAUUUGUUAACGUCCGGUUGUAGAAAACCCGAAGUUGACCUUAAUUAAAAUACAUCAACCGCGUGUGUAACCGUGAUGGUCUCUUUCCGGCGGAGUCCGGAAAGUGAACAUGGUUGUUGGAGUUAUGCUUGACGUAGGUAGUCCAGGAUCACUUCUUGAUCAUACCUUUAUCGACCGUGCUUUGCCUUCUCUUCUCGCUCUCAUUUGCGUAUGUUAGCCACCAUAUAUGCUAGUCGCUUGCUGCAGCUCCACCUCAUACCUUUACCUUACCCAUAAGCUUAAAUAGUCUUGAUCUCGUGGGUGCGAGAUUGCUGAGUCCCUGUGGCUCACAGAUACUUCCAAAACCAGCUUGCAGGUGCUGAUGAGUCUGUGCAAAUGACGCAACCAAGCUCAAGGAGGAGCUCGAUGAAGAUCUUGCCCUUUUGUUUUGUUUCGUUCUAGUUGAUCAGUAGUGGAGCCCAGUUGGGGUCGAUCGGGGACCUUUGUCGCAUUUGGAGUUCUUCUUUUAUUUUGGUUCCGUAGUCGGGCCCUGAUUGUAUUUGGUUGAUGUAAUGCUUUAUUCAUGUAAUUGUGUGAAGUGACGAUUGUAAGCCAACUAUGUAUCCUUUUCCUUAUUAUAUUACAUGGGUUGUGUGAAGAUUACCUCACUUGCGACAUAUGCCUUCAAUGCGAUUAUGCCUCUAAGUCGUGCCUCGACACGUGGGAGAUAUAGUCG